AAACUCCGGGCCAGCAGCCGCGGUAAUACGGAGGGGGUUAGCGUUGUUCGGAAUUACUGGGCGUAAAGUUUCCACGUAGGCGGAUCAGAAAGUAUGAGGUGAAAUCCCGGGGCUCAACCCCGGAACUGCCUUGUAAACUCCUGGUCUUGAGUUCGAGAGAGGUGAGUGGAAUUCCGAGUGUAGAGGUGAAAUUCGUAGAUAUUCGGAGGAACACCAGUGGCGAAGGCGGCUCACUGGCUCGAUACUGACGCUGAGGUGCGAAAGUGUGGGGAGCAAACAGGAUUAGAUACCCUGGUAGUCCACACCGUAAACGAUGAAUGCCAGACGUCAGCAAGCAUGCUUGUUGGUGUCACACCUAACGGAUUAAGCAUUCCGCCUGGGGAGUACGGUCGCAAGAUUAAAACUCAAAGGAAUUGACGGG
Molecule: ribosomal RNA, 421 nt
Filed under: uncultured bacterium
Lineage: Bacteria
Description: bacterial SSU rRNA
Rfam family: Bacterial small subunit ribosomal RNA
Source: RNAcentral